UAGGGAAUCUUCCACAAUGGACGCAAGUCUGAUGGAGCAACGCCGCGUGAGUGAAGAAGGCUUUCGGGUCGUAAAACUCUGUUAUUGAAGAAGAACGUGUGUGACAGUAACUGGUCAUGCAGUGACGGUAUUCAAUCAGAAAGUCACGGCUAACUACGUGCCAGCAGCCGCGGUAAUACGUAGGUGGCAAGCGUUGUCCGGAUUUAUUGGGCGUAAAGCGAGUGCAGGCGGUCUUUUAAGUCUGAUGUGAAAGCCUUCGGCUUAACCGAAGAAGGGCAUCGGAAACUGGGAAACUUGAGUGCAGAAGAGGAGAGUGGAACUCCAUGUGUAGCGGUGAAAUGCGUAGAUAUAUGGAAGAACACCAGUGGCGAAGGCGGCUCUCUGGUCUGUAACUGACGCUGAGGCUCGAAAGCGUGGGUAGCAAACAGGAUUAGAUACCCUGGUAGUCCACGCCGUAA
This 458-nucleotide ribosomal RNA is filed under the name uncultured bacterium. RNAcentral's name for it is "partial 16S ribosomal RNA". It matches the Rfam family "Bacterial small subunit ribosomal RNA", at positions 355 to 805 of the family's 1533-position model. The record is from RNAcentral.